This is a ribozyme of Astyanax mexicanus (Mexican tetra), 306 nucleotides long. It matches the Rfam family "Nuclear RNase P". From Rfam's summary of the family: Ribonuclease P (RNase P) is a ubiquitous endoribonuclease, found in archaea, bacteria and eukarya as well as chloroplasts and mitochondria. Its best characterised activity is the generation of mature 5'-ends of tRNAs by cleaving the 5'-leader elements of precursor-tRNAs. NCBI's taxonomy places the organism in Eukaryota, Metazoa, Chordata, Actinopteri, Characiformes, Acestrorhamphidae. The record is from Ensembl.
GUGGGAGGAAGCUCACUCCAGAGGUCACAAACUGAGUGUCCAUCACUCCACCCACAACCUCGGGGAAGGUCUGAGACAAGAGCCAAUCACUGCCCUCGCAGGGUGUCACCUGAUCCAGGUGAGUGAGGACCCAGAGAAGCUGGAGCUGAUGGAGGUUCAGGUAGGAGAAAUCGGGUGGUGCAGGAACAGCACUGCUGAUGGAGACGAACCGACACCGGCUUGGAAAGAAUCACGGCUGGAAACAGAGUUCAAUGUGUGAGCUGGAGUUCACCCUCCAGAACCCAAUUCAGACUACUCUCCUCUCAC